ACGGCCCAGACUCCUACGGGAGGCAGCAGUGGGGAAUAUUGCGCAAUGGGGGAAACCCUGACGCAGCGACGCCGCGUGAAGGAAGAAGGCCUUCGGGUUGUAAACUUCUUUGAUCGGGGACGAAGAUGACGGUACCCGAGGAACAAGCCACGGCUAACUACGUGCCAGCAGCCGCGGUAAUACGUAGGUGGCAAGCGUUGUCCGGAAUUACUGGGCGUAAAGGGCGUGUAGGCGGGGGGACAAGUCAGAUGUGAAAUACCGCGGCUUAACUGCGGGGGUGCAUCUGAAACUGUUCUUCUUGAGUGUCGGAGAGGAAAGUGGAAUUCCCAGUGUAGCGGUGAAAUGCGUAGAGAUUGGGAGGAACACCAGUGGCGAAGGCGGCUUUCUGGACGAUAACUGACGCUGAGGCGCGAAAGCGUGGGGAGCAAACAGGAUUAGAUACCCUGGUAGUCCACGCUGUAAACGAUGGAUACUAGGUGUAGGAGGUAUCGACCC
Molecule: ribosomal RNA, 495 nt
Filed under: uncultured bacterium
Lineage: Bacteria
Description: bacterial SSU rRNA
Rfam family: Bacterial small subunit ribosomal RNA
Source: RNAcentral